Molecule: RNA transcript, 1850 nt
Organism: Cucumis melo (muskmelon)
Lineage: Eukaryota; Viridiplantae; Streptophyta; Magnoliopsida; Cucurbitales; Cucurbitaceae
Exons: 5
Source: RefSeq, a predicted model, not a curated record
UACCAAUACCAGGCUUGGAGAAGCAACUCCAAAUCUUCUUCUUCGGUCUCUUCUUUCUCUACAUUCCUAGUCCCUCCUUUUCAAUCUAAACUGAACCGAUAUCUUCGGCUUCAAACGAAGAGGAAAAUGGUCGGAGCCUCCCACCGUACCGGCGGAAUCGCUGCCAGAUCUGACAAAACUGCGACUAUCAAAUUUCUCUGCAGUUAUGGAGGCAAGAUCCUUCCUCGUUAUCCUGAUGGAAAACUCCGUUAUAUUGGUGGUGAAACUCGUGUCCUUGCCGUCGAUCGUUCCAUUCCUUUCUCUGAACUGUUGUCGAAGCUGGGACAAUUGUGUGGAACGUGUGUGAGUCUUCGUUGUCAAUUGCCUUCUGAGGAUCUGGAUGCUUUGGUAUCGAUAACCUCCGAUGAGGACCUAGCGAAUCUCAUCGAAGAAUACGAUCGAGCAGCCUCGCCGCCGUCUUCUUUGAAGAUCAGAGCGUUCCUUUCACUGCCUAAAUCCGUGAAAAAAAAUCCUCUAUCUAGUUCGUCGGCCUCUUCAUCAUCGUCGUCCUCAAAACCUUCAUCUCCAAUAACUGCUAUAUCCUCUCCAAGGAUCUCAACGCAGGUUCCUGACUAUUGCGUCCAUCAGAUCCCAACGCCAGUGAGGUUUUCGUACCGCUGGAAGAAGUCUCAAUCAAAGGUUCCUCACUGCUCGUAUCAUCUUCAAGGGAACCCUAGCCAUAUCUACCUCAUCCACAAUGGCAAUCACUGGCAAUAACACCAACUAGAUUGAGGGAAUUCAAAGCAAACAUAAAUAUAAGAUAAAACGAAAUAGAAAAAAGGAAAUUCCAAGCAACAAAAAGGUUGUAUGAUCCGUAGCUAUUGUGAUGGUGAGUUUCUUCGUCGAAAUAUCAGAAUCCAUUCCCAACUUGCAUUACAGCUUCCAUUUACCAUUAGGUCCGUCCAUCACACGUAUUUCCUCUCUGCCAGAUUUAAGAGAUGACUCCAUUGGACCAAACUAAGAGUUCGAGACGAUAAGGAGCAACAGCUGCACUUCAGCAAUUGGAUGUACAUGUGAAGAUAAUCUGCUAUUGUCAGAAACAGAGAUCUCUUAGAUCAAUUUGCUCUGUUUUCUGUACCAAGAGUUUCUUUCACGAUCACAGGUAUUCCUCUAUUCUUUCCCUCUCAUUUUUAAUGAAAUAAGACAAGAUCAUACUCUGGAAAGUUUUGGGAGGAAUAACACUUAAAAUUAAAGACCUCGAAUCUGGUAGUAUUAGGAGCAAGUUGCAUCCAUCUAUGGAGAUCGGUUAGUUUCUUUAUUUGGAGAUUGGAUUCAUUCCCUGAACUUGAAAAUUAGAGGAAAAGUCCAAAAGUGGACAGCAAGGACUAUGGUUGAGAAUGCAUUUGGGACCAUAUUGAGAUCAGUUUUUGACAAAAAAGGACAAAGGAUAGGACCCAUUCAUAGCAUCAAGGAUAAGACUUGUGGGUUACGCUCCAAUAUCUAAAUUGUCACCAACAGGGAAACCCAUAGAAACCAAGACAAAUGAAAGGCACCAGAAAUAUGUUUCAUUUCAUCUAAAAUUUUACAAGAAACGAAAUCAUAAUCUUAUGAGGACAAGUAAAUGAAACAGUUGAGUAAUUCAUUUCUCUCCAUACGUGGUAUGAUGAGGUCCAGUCCAACUAUAAUGGAAAUUUAUUCCAUUUCUAAAUAUUUGUUUUCGUUUCAUCUAAAAUGACCGGUAAAUGUAAUCUGUUUUGUAGAACCAUUUGAUUUUUUAUUUUUAGUUUUUUAGUUUUUAGAGAUUAAGAUGAUGACCACCACACUUCAUCACCCUAUGUCAAAGUUUGAAUACUAAGGUUUUGUUUGGAGCA